RNAcentral lists this ribosomal RNA (301 nucleotides) under uncultured bacterium. RNAcentral's name for it is "partial 16S ribosomal RNA". It matches the Rfam family "Bacterial small subunit ribosomal RNA", at positions 509 to 808 of the family's 1533-position model. The record is from RNAcentral.
CAGUCGCCGCGGUAAUACGUAGGGUGAAAGCGUUAAUCGGAAUUACUGGGCGUAAAGCGUGCGCAGGCGGUUAUAUAAGACAGAUGUGAAAUCCCCGGGCUCAACCUGGGAACUGCAUUUGUGACUGUAUAGCUAGAGUACGGCAGAGGGGGAUGGAAUUCCGCGUGUAGCAGUGAAAUGCGUAGAUAUGCGGAGGAACACCGAUGGCGAAGGCAAUCCCCUGGGCCUGUACUGACGCUCAUGCACGAAAGCGUGGGGAGCAAACAGGAUUAGAUACCCCGGUAGUCCCUGUCUUUAUACC